AUUGAACGCUGGCGGCAGGCUUAACACAUGCAAGUCGAGCGGAGACUUCGGUCUUAGCGGCGAACGGGUGAGUAAUACCUAGGAAUCUGCCUAUUAGUGGGGGAUAACGGCUCGAAAGGGUCGCUAAUACCGCAUACGUCCUACGGGAGAAAGAGGGGGAUCUUCGGACCUCUUGCUAAUAGAUGAGCCUAGGCCGGAUUAGCUAGUUGGUAGGGUAAAGGCCUACCAAGGCGACGAUCCGUAGCUGGUCUGAGAGGAUGAUCAGCCACACUGGAACUGAGACACGGUCCAGACUCCUACGGGAGGCAGCAGUGGGGAAUAUUGGACAAUGGGCGCAAGCCUGAUCCAGCCAUGCCGCGUGUGUGAAGAAGGCCUUCGGGUUGUAAAGCCCUGUGGGGGAGAACGAACCGUACGGGGGCGAAUACCCUCCGUGCCUGACGAUACUCCUUUAGCAAGCAUCGGCUAACUCUGUG
Molecule: ribosomal RNA, 473 nt
Filed under: uncultured bacterium
Lineage: Bacteria
Description: bacterial SSU rRNA
Rfam family: Bacterial small subunit ribosomal RNA
Source: RNAcentral